AUGAAACGCUCUGCAUCUAUUUGGAUAGCUGUGAAUUAUGCCCAUGAGAGCUGUUUGAAAGGAAGGAACAUCUCAGUUACACCAAGCAAAGCAGAGAAGUGCUUGACACCAUCUAACAUAAAUGCUCAUCAGAUCACAAACCAAGUGAUAAUAAAAUGGGACCUGCCUGCAACUCCUACAAAAUAUGAGCUGAGAUACAGAGAAGCACUUACAGAAUCCACUCAGUGGAUGUUGGUGACCACAGAAAGCAAUGCUGUCAACAUCACUGUUUCAGACUUAAAUGUUAUGUCUUCAUACAUCGUUCAGCUCAGAUGCAUAGCCACGGAUGAUCAUCGCUGUGUUUGUGUUUGGAGUAGAGAGAUUUUGGUCCCCCACAAGCUCACUAAGAAGCCAACACUAUCAUAUAAUAUAACUACAGAAAUCUCUCCAGGCAGAAGAAGUGUUCUUCUUAAGUGGGAGGUAAUGUUCACUUUGGGUAUGGGUUCAUUCUGUUAUAUCCAUGCUACUAAUCCAUUACUUUACAGGGAAAAAAUAUACUUUCACAUUGUAUUGGGACUGUAUUGA
This 564-nucleotide long non-coding RNA is filed under the name Apteryx haastii (Great spotted kiwi). Its description in RNAcentral is "lncRNA (ENSAHAG00000011399.1)". Lineage: Eukaryota; Metazoa; Chordata; Aves; Apterygiformes; Apterygidae. The record is from RNAcentral.